UAAAUUAAUACAUAUAUCUGAUUGAUCACUAUUCAUUUCUUCAUCCAAGUCUUUGUGAGGAUCAGAAAUGAGUACAGAACCACCAAAAUAUGCCUAUCCCUAUCCUGCUCAAGGACCUCCUGUAAUGGCACCUCCACAGUAUUAUGCUGCUCCCCCUCCCAGGAGAGAACCUAGUUUUCUUGAGGGAUGUCUUGCAGCUUUGUGUUGCUGUUGGAUCAUUGAUGAAUGUUGCUGUGAUCCCUCCAUCAUUUUCAUCUGCUGAUUUAUCAAUAAUUUUGCUAUGAUUUAUGUGUAUGAUCUGCACACUGAUGUAUUAAUUGCUCUACAACUCAAUAUAUUUCAUUUAUAUUAAAUUAUUUAGAAGAA
Molecule: long non-coding RNA, 366 nt
Organism: Olea europaea var. sylvestris
Lineage: Eukaryota; Viridiplantae; Streptophyta; Magnoliopsida; Lamiales; Oleaceae
Exons: 3
Source: RefSeq, a predicted model, not a curated record